GUACUAAUGAAGAGUCUCAAAAUAAGACGAAACAGAUGUCCAGUAC
Molecule: non-coding RNA, 46 nt
Filed under: Trichobilharzia regenti
Lineage: Eukaryota; Metazoa; Platyhelminthes; Trematoda; Strigeidida; Schistosomatidae
Source: RNAcentral